Molecule: ribosomal RNA, 492 nt
Filed under: uncultured bacterium
Lineage: Bacteria
Description: partial 16S ribosomal RNA
Rfam family: Bacterial small subunit ribosomal RNA
Source: RNAcentral
AGUGAACGCUGGCGGUGGGCCUAACACAUGCAAGUCGAACGGCAGCACAGUAAGAGCUUGCUCUUACGGGUGGCGAGUGGCGGACGGGUGAGGAAUACAUCGGAAUCUACUUUUUCGUGGGGGAUAACGUAGGGAAACUUACGCUAAUACCGCAUACGACCUACGGGUGAAAGCAGGGGAUCUUCGGACCUUGCGCGAUUGAAUGAGCCGAUGUCGGAUUAGCUAGUUGGCGGGGUAAAGGCCCACCAAGGCGACGAUCCGUAGCUGGUCUGAGAGGAUGAUCAGCCACACUGGAACGGAGACACGGUCCAGACUCCUACGGGAGGCAGCAGUGGGGAAUAUUGGACAAUGGGCGCAAGCCUGAUCCAGCCAUACCGCGUGGGUGAAGAAGGCCUUCGGGUUGUAAAGCCCUUUUGUUGGGAAAGAAAAGCAGCAGGUUAAUACCCCGCUGUUCUGACGGUACCCAAAGAAUAAGCACCGGCUAACUUCGUG